AGCCAAAGGAGUGGUAUCCUUCUGGAUGGAGAUUGCAUUCUUCUUGAGCUGUUAUGGGAAGGGGCGCUUUAGGAGACAGCGAUGCACGAACCUUGGCUAACACUGAGAAAAACUGCUGUAUGGUGAACCACCCUGCUUCCUAACUGUGCCUCCCAUUCAAUGAUCAUCUAUGAAGCUAGCCAAGAGGCUGUGUCUAUGUGGGAUGGCUGUGAGCAAGUGUGAACCUUUCCCCUGAGGUCAGGAAGCUUUGAAUAAAGCCUUAGGCAAACAGGAGCUGCCUGUGACCACUGAUCACACCUCUGAGAAUGGAAAGGGCUCCCUCAAAAGCUGUCCCAGUGGGGACCAAAUCUCAGAGGAUCUUUGUCCCAUUUGGAUCUAGAGGCAAGAGGGUUGCAACGUGAUAUCUGUAACAAGACAGAAGUCAAAAAUGCAGAGAUCUGUGCAGGUUAGUACAUGAGAUGGCUCUGCAUGUGAAUUAUUCCUGUUCAGCAGCAGCUCUAACAGCUUUCUUUUGAUGCUUAAAGACAAAUGUAAUAAGAAGAUGAGCUGAAAAUGACGACUGCUGUCUCAAUAAGCUGCAGAAGCUCCACUAAUGUGGUUCAUUGGAACAUACUUUUUCCCUAUCUCUAAAACAGCUAUGGUUGCACUGAGCACCACAGCACCCUGAAUGCGUGCCUGUGUCUCCAGCAGGCUCAGCACCUUAGCAGUCUCCCCCAUGAGUAGACAGCGGCUGCUUCUUGAGAGUGUUUCACCGAAUGACAAAGCACGGGAUUGCAUAAUAUAUCUUCAGCAUGUCUCUGGGAAGGUCACUGAUAACCUGUGUUUCAGCCCAUUCCUCCUGCUGUUUGGAGUACACGUCUGCUGUGCACGCUGUAAAUGAGGAGCCCACUUUAUGCACGGAGAACAAGGGAUCUGAUGAAUGGCAAAGAGGCAUAAUUUAUAGGGAAGUAACCUGAGAAACAGCACUGAAAUCUUUUCACCCAUAAAUAAUGUGCCUUUUCACGUGAUUUUUGAAGAUCUGAGUCUUGUGGUGAAGCACGCUAUGUUGAAAUUCCUCCCUGUGUUACCUUGGUGGACUUCUCAUGGCAGAGGCAACCCAAGCUUUGCGAUGCCUUUGGAUGGAAAUGCAGAAUUGAAAUACAGAAGAGCAGCCCUUUGUUGAAAAUUGCUGCUCAAAACAGAAGAAAAAAUCCUGGGCUAAAGCAGAGGCCCUGUGGGACUUUCUGCCCUGAGCCUGCUUUGUCAGAGCUGAUGGCAGCAGCCUGGGUGCAUGGAAGGCCCAGAUCUCAUGCCCUCAGAGCCCUUUCCUUGGCUGUUUUUAUUAAUCUUCUCUUGUAAAGCUCCUCCUUGUUAUAAGCUCCAGCUCUGGCUUCUCAUUAAUUGCUGCUUAAGAACCGGACUGGUGGUUUGGACAAUUAAUAGCCUAAUAAGUGAAGGAGCCUUUCACCUCAGGGUAAGAAAUUCAAAUCCAACCCACAGCAGUAAUCUGGGGAAAUCAUUAGCUCCAGAUGGCUCACCGACAGCCAGAUAAACUGUGGCGGGGACCCUCCUGCCCUCCUUUCUGCAUAAGGCGCCAUGUCAGUACAUCCCCUGUGGCCACAGGGCAUGGGCUGAUCCAGGUGAGAGAACAGCUCCUCAGCCCAGUGUCUGGUGGUGGGGUGAUGCUAAUUUGUUCCCUUUGCUUGAAAUGAACCCUGCACAACUCCGAUGAGGUGGAUGGAGGAGAUCGUGGUUUCAGCCGCCUGUUCAUCUCCCUUGGAAAGUCAAAAGCCAUUUAUCUGGCACACUCAUAUUCAGACCAAAGUCUUACUUCUUAUGCAGCUUAAAUUAAAUUUUAGCUUGGCGUUACUUAUCUUCUGUGGCCCAAAUUAAUCUCUUUCUUUUAGUUAUCUGUAGUAUGAUUGCAGAGAGAAUUCAGUGCUGGUGGAAGUGACUGAAUUCACAGCGAUGGAGAUGGAGACAUCCAUCUCAUGCAGCAGCUGUCUGAAGGACUGCUACAGGACCAUGCACUGCCCUUCAUCUGCUCCCAGGCAGGGCCAGGGAACCUGCUUAUGUCACCCCAUGGAGCAUUUCCCAUAGACAUCAUCUGCAGACGCUGUCAACAACAGCUGACAAUUUCAUUCUUGCAUCUACAAUGCUGGAUGCGUGGGGAUUUAAUGAGAAAUUCAAUCAUCAUCCCAAAGCCUAAACUGUGUUUAAAAUACGUUUCCGCCCUGCCCUGCCAUCUUGCUUCUGUUUAGCGUGUAGACAGCUCUAUGCAGAUGGGAAUCAAACUGGCAGACUCCUCGGUGCCCUCUGCAUCCCUCGACCCAAGUCAGAGCCUUUGCAGCAGGAAAAAAUGCAGGUCUUUGCCUCAAUUUGCAGAGCAGAUUUUUAGAGCAAACCUGUCAUCACCAGUGCCCUAAGCUGAUAAUGUGUAUGGUGAGCACGGGGAGGUUAAGAUGAGGACAUCUGGUUUGUUCUAUUUCUGGUACAAGAACAAUAUCCACCCGUCAAGGGGGGGAGGGCAGAGAGUUCAGCAUGGUGGCAUCUCUAGCCAGCUAAAUACAACUAGGCUCAUGAGUCAGUUGUCUUUCUAGCGUGGCAUCAGACAAAUAUCUGUAGCAUACAAAGGGUCCUUUGUUUCUAUUUUAAGAGCUGUGUGAACAGAGCUAGAAUACUGCAGCUAUUUUCCACUAUGGUUUAUUCCUCCACACAGUUAGAGUCUGCUCUGAUCAGGCAACAAAAUCCCAGGCUUGGAAGAAUCCUCUCUUCAUGAUCAGUAACUUCUGCUGAGAGCAAAGCAAGGUAAAAACAUGAAGGAAAAAAAAAGGAGGAGUUGGUGCGAGCGCAGAGAAAUGAAAAGAGAAAGCAAGCAGAGAAAGCAAUGCAGAAGAAGCCAUGUCAAAAGUCAUAACUGGAAAGGAAGAUAUCAAGAAAUGCAGUUGCAACUCAGAGGAGAGACUGGAAAAAAAAAAA
RNAcentral lists this long non-coding RNA (2958 nucleotides) under Gallus gallus (chicken). Its description in RNAcentral is "lncRNA (ENSGALG00010020317.1)". The record is from RNAcentral. Lineage: Eukaryota; Metazoa; Chordata; Aves; Galliformes; Phasianidae.